Molecule: long non-coding RNA, 252 nt
Filed under: Elaeis guineensis (African oil palm)
Lineage: Eukaryota; Viridiplantae; Streptophyta; Magnoliopsida; Arecales; Arecaceae
Description: long non-coding RNA (EGUI_LNC026311)
Source: RNAcentral
CUCGAUGUCAGUGGAAAGGAGGAGCGCCUGGCACAGCCUCCUGGCCAAGUCAUGGUUGGCCAGGCCCGAUGCACCUUUGGAGAGUGGGAAGUCGGUCGAUCCUCCACCGCCGGCCGACCGUCCUUCAUCGCCCGACGCCAUAGGGGCCUUCCCUCGACCGAAUGCCCAGGCCCUGACAUCGGAGAUGGACGGCAAACUUGAGCCCGAUCGAGUCUCGACCGACGAUGCGGCAGCAGCGGGCGCAGGUCGCUC